This 256-nucleotide ribosomal RNA is filed under the name uncultured archaeon. Its description in RNAcentral is "partial 16S ribosomal RNA". It matches the Rfam family "Bacterial small subunit ribosomal RNA", at positions 521 to 776 of the family's 1533-position model. The record is from RNAcentral.
UAAUACGGAGGGUGCAAGCGUUAAUCGGAAUUACUGGGCGUAAAGGGUGCGUAGGUGGUUUAGUAAGUUAUCUGUGAAAUCCCCGGGCUCAACCUGGGCAGGUCAGAUAAUACUGUUAAACUCGAGUGUGGGAGAGGGUAGUGGAAUUUCCGGUGUAGCGGUGAAAUGCGUAGAGAUCGGAAGGAACACCAGUGGCGAAGGCGGCUACCUGGCCCAACACUGACACUGAGGCACGAAAGCGUGGGGAGCAAACAGG